AAAAAUAAAUAAUUUUAAAAUAUUAAAGUUUUUUAAAAUUGUUAUAAACUUAGUUUUAAAGUAUUGUUUUCAAUUUAUUGUUUUGUAUAUGAUUUUCUCUUUUAAGUUUAUAAAGAAUGUUUGCAAUAUUCUCAUAGUUUGGUUGCAAAUAGCUGUUAUCUUAAUUUCACAAUCUUGUAUUUUAUAAUUCAAAAUUAUUUCUUAACCCGAACUUAUUUUUUAGACAGUCUCUAUAUGCUGAAUGUUAAUUAAACUGCCACAUUAGACCCUAUUUCCACAUAUUGUUUAACUUUUUUCAUCUCUUUCUUUUAUUUAUAGUUUACUUUUUAUUAUUUCUUUCAAUAACUUAUCCAACUUGUCAUUAUUUUUGCUUCUUCAAACCAGUAAAGACCUGUACCACAUUCCAGAUCAUCACCAAAUACCACACUUCAGAUCAUCAUCAAAUACCACACUCCAGGUCAUCAUCAGGUACCACAUUUUAGGUCAUCACCAUGUAUCACAUUUCAUUAUUUUUCUCCUAUUUUUAUUUUUAUUAGUUAGUAUUCUUUUACUUAACUUUUAUUUUAUCUUGAAAUUAAAAUAAGUUAUAAAUAAAACUUAUGUUUUUUAUUAAAAUAAAUUUUAACAUAGUGCAUUUCUCUACUCUCCUUAUUUUACACAGUUUUACAUUGGGCUAUAGAGAUUAACUUUAAUCAAAGUUUUGCAGAAAAUUACAAAAAACUACACGUUUAUAUACGUAAAGCUAAGAAAUAAAAACAAAGAUUUGUAUAAUGAACAAUUAAACCUUAGUUCAUCUCAAUCCUGUUUUAUACUUGCAUUCUUUUUCCUCAAUCAAAAUAUUUUCGACUUCAAUAAGGUUUUAAAUUUCAUUUAUCAAAUGUUGAUUUUUUACAACUGUUUUUGCAUUUGCGACUACUUUAGCUGGGUAUGUUUUUCAUUUUCAAAAAUGCUUUUUAAAUGACCAUAUAGUAUGUAUGUUUGUGCAUUUACUUAAAUCAGUUGUUGAAAUGCUUGCAAAAAUUACAGACACCUGGUGCUAUCUGCAAAAUGGACAAGAAAAAAUUAAGUUGUCAUGUGUAUGUCAUUAAUAAAUUGCUCAAAUUCAAAGAGACGAUUACCUGAUGUUUUGUUUUUAUUGUUUAACCGAAAGAAAUUGUUAAAAAGA
Hydra vulgaris (swiftwater hydra) is the source of this 1165-nucleotide long non-coding RNA. RefSeq lists it as uncharacterized. NCBI's taxonomy places the organism in Eukaryota, Metazoa, Cnidaria, Hydrozoa, Anthoathecata, Hydridae. The record is from RefSeq and is a predicted model, not a curated record.